UAGGGAGUCUUCGGCAAUGGGGGCAACCCUGACCGAGCAACGCCGCGUGAGUGAAGAAGGUUUUCGGAUCGUAAAGCUCUGUUGUAAGUCAAGAACGAGUGUGAGAGUGGAAAGUUCACACUGUGACGGUAGCUUACCAGAAAGGGACGGCUAACUACGUGCCAGCAGCCGCGGUAAUACGUAGGUCCCGAGCGUUGUCCGGAUUUAUUGGGCGUAAAGCGAGCGCAGGCGGUUUGAUAAGUCUGAAGUUAAAGGCUGUGGCUUAACCAUAGUACGCUUUGGAAACUGUUUAACUUGAGUGCAAGAGGGGAGAGUGGAAUUCCAUGUGUAGCGGUGAAAUGCGUAGAUAUAUGGAGGAACACCGGUGGCGAAAGCGGCUCUCUGGCUUGUAACUGACGCUGAGGCUCGAAAGCGUGGGGAGCAAACAGGAUUAGAUACCCUGGUAGUCCACGCCGUAAACGAUGAGUGCUAGGUGUUAGACCCUUUCCGGGGUUUAGUGCCGCAGCUAACGCAUUAAGCACUCCGCCUGGGGAGUACGACCGCAAGGUUG
Molecule: ribosomal RNA, 550 nt
Filed under: uncultured bacterium
Lineage: Bacteria
Description: bacterial SSU rRNA
Rfam family: Bacterial small subunit ribosomal RNA
Source: RNAcentral